UUUUGUAAAAAAUGAUACAUGUUCUGAGUAUUUCACCUUUAAAGUAUGGCUUAAUGAAAGCCAACUUUGGAGCUAUUUAUUCAGAUUGUUUUUUCUUGGUUUUAUGUUCCCAUGGAAACCUGUAUAGCAAAUAGGUUGUUCUGAGUGAGGCCUGGCCUGGUUCAGUUAAAUCCAAAGGCUUCAGUCAAUCUGGUUCACUGAAAUGACUAAUUUUCUGUCUCCCUAACCAUUAUCCCCUACAAUUCUGAUAGAUAAACCAGUGUUUAAGGGGCAGACAGAGAGGAGUUGCCUACUGAGAAGACUGAGAAGCAGCAGCCAGAGAGAGAAAAGGUGAAUUGGGAGCAAGGGAAUGUCUAUAUCAAUCAGGACUCAUUGGUGGCAAAUAACAGAAGCCAGUGCAAACCGACUGAAGGAAAGAAAGGAAUGUCUUACACAGAUACAGGAGUAGUCAGAUAUGCAGAUAUAGGCAUGUAACUGGAAUUUGUGGCUAGAACAUUUUGGGAAAUCCAAUAACUUCAUUUUUCUUCUCUAUUCCAAAAUACUUGGGAAGUCACUGGUUGGUCUUGCUUGGUGAGGCCCAGCCCUGGGUGGUCAGCCCUGGCAGGAAGCGGGAGGGCUGCAAGUACAAAAACAGGGUGGUUGGGGGCCAAACUGGGUUUUAAGGGCAUUUCCUAGAAAAGAAGACAUUGUUGGCCAGGCUCUAAGAGGGAUUUAUCACAGUGAUGUCAAGACACUGAGGAAAAGAGUUUCAGGAUAUGGGAUGGGUUGCUGUGAUAUACAGCAGGAGGUCAAAUGAGAGGGGAAAAAUACUCCUUGGAUUUGGCAUUUGGACUGUCAAUGGUAACUUUAGCAGGAUUGCUUUUAGUGGAGUGAGGGCAGGGGAUUCAGGAGAGAGUGAGAAGAAAGGGGCACAAAGAUCUGUGUCCUAGAAGCUUGCUUUGAAAGGAAAGAGAGAUGUCCACUAGCAGCUAAGGUUUAAGGUGGAAGAGACUUUUGCUAAGGCAGGGAUUCUUUACCUGGGCUCCAGGGCUCUGGGAAUCUCUCAAGCCUUUGGAAAUAGCAUGUAAAUUUACCUGCUUCUCAAAGAGAUUUGUGAUCCACACAUACUAAGAACCACCGUGCUAAAGGAAUGGUGGCAAUAGAAAGGGAGAAGUGAAGGAAAUGGGAGAGGUGAUAGACAGCUUGAGGAGGGGGCCAGAGUAGGAGCCAGAACACAAGAAGGAUGACCUUUGUUGGGAAGAGGAUGGUUGGUUUAUUUCUUCUUCUGAGGGGUGUGGGGGCUGGGAGGGAGGAUAUGAAAUUCAGGGCAGGUGCAGAUGUGUUUGUAGGUAGGGUGGUAGGGAACUGUGAGAUUCAUUCCUGAUAGAUUUCAUUGCUUUCUCUUUUGUUUUUGGUCCAGCUUGGCCUCGCAGCAGGCUAGAAUAGCUCUUCCUACAGAUAGUUGGUCAAGAGAUGGUCAUAAUCUGUUUUUUUACUUAGGCUUAUCAUUGGGUUUUCUGUCUCCAUGAUCACUCUUGACUGAUGUGCCUUGUCGCUUGAGCCUGACAUCCAUGGUGAGUUAGAACCUGAGCUAUGCUGAGCUCUCCUUCUACCUUAUCCUGGAAGACCUUCUACAGUUCCCUCACUACUCCUUGUCUGUGAAGCUGACGGUAUUAACAAUUAAUUGCACCUUUUCCCUUUCCCUAAAGGGAAGCGGCAUGCAGGGAUUUCCCCCAGUUUGGGGCUUCCUGUAUUGGACUCUCCUGGCGGAUUGUGAGUCAGUAGGCAUGAAUCAAGAGAGUAGGUGCUUGUAUGGGUGGACGUUCAUUGGAGUUAACUGAUUCACAGUGAGUGACCUUUGUUUCUUAAAUGAUCUUGAUCCAGAAGGUAGGAAAGUAUGUCCUCUGGAUAUAAAAUCUGAACUUCUCUUCUCAUGGAAUAAUCUCAGCUCAGUCUUUUAGGUUUUUCAUGCCUUAAUUUCACCAUCGGCAAAAUCAAAUAAUAUUUUCCACUUAUGUUAAUGGAGUACUAUGUCUCUUGACAUUUCUGAGAGGUAUCAUGAGAACAAACUGUUUAACGUAUUAUUGUUAAAGAAAAAGCUGGAAACCCUUAUAAGCCACUCCUCUGAUCUGAAUGUUCUAGCUGCCAUUGUGGAAGAACCGGUUUCUGAAAGAAAAGCUUAGUGACAUUCUUUAGGAAAUCUUACUUAUGGGACAGUACUCAUAUGCCAGAAAGAGUGCACUUAUUUUUAAUUUAAAGCCUUUUUUUUUUUUUUUUGGAGAUAGGGUCUCACUCUGUCACCCAGGCUAGAGUUCAGUGACAUGAUCAUGGCUUACUGCAGCCUUGACCUCCUGGGCUUAAGCCAUCCUUCUGCCUCAGCCUCCUUACUCACUUGUCAUCAUACCAGGCUAAUUUUUUUUUCAUUUUUAGUAGAGACAAGGACUCACAGUGUUGCCUAGGUUGGUCUUGAACUCUUGGGCUAAAGUGAUCUUCCUGCCUUGGCCUCCCAAAGUGCUGGGCUUUCAGGCAUGAGCCACCACACCUGCCCCAUAAUGGCAUUUUUGACGUAAAGACAUGUAUCUUUCUGCUUUUGAUUUUCACAGAUUCUUGAAGCUGGUAUCCUUUCUAUACUACUAAGAUUCCCUUUAAGAAUAAUUUAAUAGUAAUAAAUCAGCAAUCAUUAAGCUACCUGGGACUUACCUGUACUUUUAAAAAAUGUUGCAUUCAAUUUAUUAUUUUUUAUUUUUUGACAUAGAAUCUCGCCCUGUCACCCAGGCUGGAGUGCAGUGGCGCCAUCAUGGCUGACUGCAGCCUCAACCUCCUUGGGCUCAAGCAAUCCUCCCAUGUCAGCCUCCUGUGUAGCUGAGACUACAGGCUCAUGCCAUCAUGCCCAGCUAAUUUUUGUAUUUUUUGUAGAAAUUGGGUAUUGCUGUGUUGCCCAGGCUGGUCUUGAUCUUCUGGGCUCAAGUGAUCCACCCACCUGGGCCACCCAAAGUGCUGGGAUUACAGGCAUGAGCCACCAUGCCUGGCCAAUUUAUUCUUUAAAAUUUUUUUAAUUUUAAAAAAUUGUGGUAAAAUUACAUAACAUGAAACUUACCAUUUUAAAGUAUACAGUUCAGUGCCAUUAAGUAUAUCACAUUGUUGCACAACUAUCACCACGAUCCAUGUCCAUGAUUAGCUGAACUUCUUUAGAAAUAAAAGUAAAUGAUCUGUUUGUUGGCUUCAGUGACUUCAUCUGCUGGGGAUCUGUAAAAAGGUGGUAGGCUGAGUAACUCCUCAUUCCUUUUUUUUUUUUUUUGAGAUGGAGUCUCCCUCUGCCACCCAGGCUGGAGUGCAGUGGCGCGAUCUUAGCUCACUGCAACCUCCACCUCCCAGGUUCAAGAGGUUAUCCUGCCUUAGCCUCCCAAGUAGGUGGGAUUACAGGUGUAUGACACCAUGCCUGACUAAUUUUUGUAUUUUUAGAGGAGAUGGGGUUUCACCAUGUUGGCCAGGUUGGUCUCGAACUCCUGACCGCAGGUGAUCUACCUGCCUUGGCCUCCCUAAGUGCUGGGAUUACAGGUAUGAGCCUCUGUGCCUGGUCUCAUUCCUUAGAAACCUCUUACUUUUGAGGAAUGGUUCCGAAAUGAAAUUCAAAGAUGUGAAGAACAAGAUGUCCUCAUUAAUGACGGAUGUUGUCGGGGUCCACAGUAGUUUAGGAUUCCUAUUCCAGCUCAACUUGCAGGUUUGGACAGCUGUCCUUUGCGGACAAGAUUAAGUGAUUUUAAUUUGGAGGGCAGAGGAGAGUUUCCAGCUUUCUGUAACUUCUGCAGGAGUUCCAGCUUCUGUAACUUCUAAGCUCUACAGAAGAGGGCUCAGAAGAGCUUAGUAACAAUGGUGGUAGCAAUAUCUUAAGGCUCAAAUUAGCUGGCCUCAGCAUUGGGGAAGCAGGAGGAGGGAGCAAGAAGGUGGCUGUGAGGGAAUGAAGUGGCACAGGAUCUGUCCUCAGGGAAGAAGAAGGGUGCUGUCCCAGCCUGCUGACAGGAGGGAAGAGAGAUCACACUCAUGGAGUUGAAAUCAGUUCAACAUCCUGUUGGUAACAUCUCCUUUUUUCCCCAUACAGUCUAAGAAAUGCAGUUAGCUGGGGUUGGGAUGGUUAAGUUUGAGUAUUAGAACUCUGGUGCUCCUCAACUCUUUCCCUAUGAUUCAGUCUUUCUCUGGCAUCAUAUGAAAGAAAAAUAUCUUCUCCACAAUGAUUUGCUCAAUCCCUGCUCCCUAAAGACCUGCUUGUUCUAAGUGUGGCCUCAUCCAUACUCACCUGAUUUUAUCAAAGUAUGUUGAUGACAGGUGUUAGAAAUUUCACAAUUUACAGCUGCAACAACAGAAAAUACUGUACCAAAGGCCAACACAGAGAGGAUCCAGGAAUUCCCUUGGCUGGAUUAAAUGUCUUUUUUGCAAGACAGAGUUGUUUUUCCCUUUGAUGUGGGUAUGAAAGCUUGCUCUAUGUGUUUGUGGAGGUAAGUUGCUGUGGUGUUGGUCAGUGGCUCUCCCAGGGAUAAAAAAGGGUUUCCUUCUCAUUAAAUUAAGGAGGCCUCUGCAAAUGAGGUCUGAAGAUUCUGGACUUGACAAAACCCAGCAUUGCCCUGUUGUCCAGAGAGUGCCAGCAUAGCCUGCCCCUGGGACACCUCUCUCCUUAGCUGGCCAUUCACUGCUUCUGUGAUAUUGUGUCGGAUGAGGCCACCCUCUUCCCCAUUUGUAAGCUCCUCUCUGUAGCAUGGGAAGCCUGGAGGUGGAAUGGAGAACGUGACCUCCUUGUUCAUCAUUCACACUGAUUCAUGAGAAACAUGGAAGGAAACAUAUUUGAAACCGUAGUAGUGAAAUAUUUAGAGAGAGCAAAAAAUUGGUUGGUGGGUUGACUAAUAUGUCUGUUAGUCUGUUUCUGUCUCUUCCCUCUUCCUCUUUCCUCUCUCUGUGUCUCUUUCCGUGUGUGUGUGUGUGUGUGUGUGUGUGUGUGUGUGUAUUUGUGUGUCUGACUCUUCAGUCUCUCUCUCUUGCUGUAUUUGUCUUUCUCUCUCUGUCUCAUGUCUUUCUAUGUGUGUCUUGGUAUGUUUGUCUCUUUGUAUCUUGUUUCUCUGAGAUCCUACUGUGUGCCAUGUCCUACCUGGAGGCUAAGUGUCUAAAAGCAAUUGACACAUUGUCAGUAAUCAUGGUAACAACAGUAACUAGCAAUAUUGCUAUUUCUUAGCAUUUAAGAACUUUGUCCACAUUAUUGCAUUUAAUCCUCACAACAGCUCCAUGUGAUGGUUACAACGUUAUCCAUUUCACAGACAAGAAGACUGUAGUUCAUCUAAGUUUAUAACUUGCCGUAAUUCAUGUAGCUUACAAGGACUUAGGUCUGUAUGACCCUGGAACCCAUAUUCUUUUUUUUUUUUUUUUUGAGACGGAGUUUUGCUCUUGUUGCCCAGGUUGGAGUGCAAUGGUGCAAUCUCAGCUCACCACAACCUCCGCCUCCUGGGUUAAAGCAGUUCUCCUGCCUCAGCCUCCCAAGUAGCUGGGAUUACCGGCAUGCACCACCACAUCUGGUUAAUUUUGUAUUUUUAGUAGAGAUGGGGUUUCUCCAUGUUGGUCAGGCUGGUCUUGAACUCCCGACCUCAGAUGAUCUGCCUGCCUCGGCCUCCCACAGUGCUGGGAUGACAGGUGUGAGCCACCAUGCCCAGCCAGAACCCAUACUCUUUGCUGUUGCCUUUUAGUGCCCUUUAGCUGGUAACUUGAGCUCCUAGGGACUUGAGGCUUCCUAUAGGAAUGUUUUAUGAUAUCUAUUUGAUUCUAGAAUAUUAAUUUGUUCCAGGUCUAGGAAGCAAUGUACAGCUGUGAAAUUUAUUUAUUUAUUUAUUUAUUUAUUUUUUGAGACCAAGUCUUGCGCUGUCACCCAGGCCUGAGUGCAGUGGCACAAUGUUGGCUUGCUGUCUCCCAGGUUCAAGCAAUUCUCUUGCCUCCUGAGUAGCUGGGACUACAUGUGUACAACACCACACCUGGUUAAUUUUUGUAUUUUUAGUGGAGACGGGGUUUCACCACGUUGAGCAGGCUGGUCUCGAACUCCUGACCUCAGGUGAUCCACCCGCCUCGGCCUCCCAAAGUGCUGGGAUUACAGGCAUAAGCUACCGCGCCCAGUCGUAGCUAUGAAAUUUAAUUGAGAGAGAGAGUGUGUGUGUGUGUGUGUGAGAGAGAGAGAGAGAGAGAGUGAGAGAAACAGAGAGACUUAGAGGCAAAAAUAAAAAUUAGCUAGAAAGAGACAGACAGACAGACGUGAGACAGAAAGGGAGAUACAGUAAGAGAACCUGAGGGAAAGACAGAGACAGACAAAUGCACAGACUAACAGACAUACCAGCCAAUCCACCCAUCAAGUCACUUGCUCUUUCUCAAUUUUCUUUCACUAGUAAGGGUCUAGUAUAAUGUUUCCUUACAUAUUUCUUACGAAUCAACACGAAUGUGAACAAUGGUGUCCAGUAUUAUUUUGUGCUGUGGGGAAUAUAAAAUAUUAGCAAGAAUUUGGCAACUCUAAAGUACAGAGAAACCUAAAUAAAGGCUUUUGUUUGUGCCUAACAGUAGACUAUUACAAAACAAUUAUUUAAAUGUCUUACAUACUUAACAUAAGUAAUCAAGCAUAGGCUUUGGAGUUGGGCUUAUGAAAUUCAUAUUCCAGCUUCAUUUAUUAGUGUAAUUUUAAGUAAGUUAUUGAAGUCUGAGUCUCCGUUUUCUGAUCUGUGAAAUGGCAAUAAUAAUGGUACCUAUUUUGUGGAGUCCUUGGGAGUUUUUAAAGAGAUGAUGUUGGCUGGGCGCGGUGGCUCAUGCCUGUAAUCCCAGCACUUUGGGGGGCCAAGGCAGGUGGAAUACCUGAGGUCAGGAGUUCGAGACCAGCCUGGCCAACAUGGUGAAACCCCGUCUGGUAGAAUAUAAAAAUUAGCCGGGCAUGGUGGUGCAUGCUUGUAAUCCCAGCCACUCGGGAGGCUGAGGCAGGAGAAUCACUUGAAUCCGGGAGGUGGAGGCUGCAGUGAGUGUAGAUUGAGCCAUUGCACUCCAGCCCGGGCAACAGAGCGAGACUCCAUAACAAAAAACAAAUAAAAACAAAACAACAACAACAACAACAACAGCAACAGAGAUGAUGUCCAACAGUGUUUGACACAACUAAUUUAGCCAUUUUUAUUUUAUCACUAGUGCUGACAAGUAUAACGUAAUUUAAAAAUUAACUGAAUAAACGUAUCUGCUCUUAAUAAGUAGUAGCUGCAUUGUCCUACUUGUAGAACUCAGAUGCCUAGUUUUAGGGAGCACUGUCCUCAGUGCAAGCACUGUGGUGACCUGGACUCUGCUGCCCUGACACGUACAGUUUGCUUAUCAAGCAACUAUUACCCUGGCACCUACCAUUUCUGAGCCUUAGGAAAGCCCUAUUUACAAUGCCACUUAAGGAAUGUGCUCUCUCCCUUGAGUUCUUAUGCAAGAUCUUUUUUGAAUGCUUAAAGAGAGAAUAAUAAUAAUAAUAAUAAUAAUAAUGAUAAGAAGAAAAAGAAGAAGAGGAAGAAAGAAAAAGGAAGAAGGAGGAGGAGAGGAGGAGGAGGAGAGCAAAUCAGUAAAUCACUUAAGUAAAAUUUGCCCUGCAAAGAAGUUAGGGCAUCUUGGUCCUAUCUUGUUCUCCCCCUCACCAAAUUGGUGCCACUUCCUGAACACACUGGGUGCUUUCACAUACUGGUGCAUUUGCUGGCAUGGUUCUGCCUGGCCUGGAUGCCCUUCCCUUCAUUUCUCAACACUUCCCCCGUCAAAAGCCAAGGAACUCCGUUGUGUAGCUUUCUCCAACACCCACAGAUGGAAUUAAUACUUCCCUCUUCUGUAGACCCACACCACUCUGGAAACACCCCUAUCAUGCAGUUUAUUAUAGUCCGCCUAAUUAGAAGCAUGGUGUUUGUCCACUCUGGUUGACCAUGAGCUCCUUGCAGACUGGCAGUAUUUUAUCUUCUUUGUAGUCUUAACAGGUGGGGCAGAGCCUCUGAUGAUUCUGGGGGAAAAGAGUGAAAUCACCUUUUGCUGUUUGUCAUGUUCUAAAGCUUCCUUUCCUUUGCUAAAUACUUACCAGGAGAGCCCUACCAUCAUGGCUUAAGCAUUGUCCCACAGCAAGGGACUAACCAGGGCAGGGAGGUAGAUAGUUUUGUAUUUCAUAUAUGGCUUGUAUUGUGCCAUGAGAAUAUUUGCAGGCUUGUUACUUUGAAGUGCCUCUGUCAGAGACUAGAGGAAGCCUGAUUCUCAAGCCCAAAUGAGAUAGAAAACUUGUCAUUGAUACCAUAACUGCCAGUCUUCUUGGAUAUCAUAGGCGAGGCAGGUCAGCUCAAGAGAGAAGUGCUUCCUGGUGGUGUUUGCCAUGCCUGAUUGUGGAUAAAACCAGUAUAACCCAGCAUUUUCUACACUUGUUUGAAUGCACGAAAUCUAGUGGGCAAAGAUUGAGAAAGGCAGCCUUUAAUUGGUGGGUGUGGUGUAAGGUUGAUUGAGUGUGGUGGAGUUGUGAGUAGACUUGCCUGCAGAGAAGUAAAACAGAUGGAAAUUCCAUGGCCUCGUAAGUGAGUUUUUAUCUCUAUUUAAAAUCUUUCUCAUUUCUUCAACUUACGGUUAUGAAAUAUUUCAAACACACAGAAAAGUCGAAAGAUUAUUAUGGUGUAAUCCCAUAUGCCCUCCACAUAAAUUUCACAAUUGUUAAUAUUUUGCAAUACUUGCUUUAUUUUUCUCUCUGUACUUUGGUUUUCUUUUUUUUGUGCCAUUUGAAAGCAAAUUAUGUACACAUGAUGACACAACACUUUUCGACAUUCAGCAUUUCAUCCCUUAAGAAUACAGAUAUUUAUCUACAGAAACAAAAUGUCAUUAUCCCUGCUAAGAAAAUUAACUAUCUAAAAUCAACUAAAUAUUUAAAUUUCCGGUCGGGCAUGGUGGCUCACACCUGUAAUCUCAGCACUUUAGGAAGAUUGCUCGAGCCUAGGUGUUCAAGGCCAGUCUGGGCAAUAUAGUAAAAUGACGUCUCUUAAAAAAAAAAAAAAAAAAAAGGCAAGAGUGGUGGUGCAUGUCUAUAGGCCUAGCUACUCAGGAGGCUGAGGUGGGAGGAUCACUUGAGUCCAGGAGGUUGAAGCUGCAGUGAGCUAUGAUGACACCACUCACGGCACCCCAGCUUAGAUGACAGAACGAGACCCUGUCUCAGAAAAACAAACAAACAAACAAACUGCAUUAAUUCCUCCAAAAUGUCUUUGUAGCUGUUUCUCUCAAAUUAAUGCGUACAUUACAUUUUAAAACUUCAUUUUAACAUAGAAUGUUUUAUCCCUCUUUUUUUCCCUCCAUGACAUUGACCUUUUGAAGAAUCCAGGCUCGCAGCCUUAUAGAAUGUCCCACAUUCUAGAUUGUGUUUUCUCUUGAUGUUAACCUGUUCCUCCUUCCCAGUAAGUUUUAACCCGGGCUGUACAUUAGAAUUCCUUGUCUUGAUUAAUUGGCCUUACAAAGAAGCAGUAAUAAAUUGGUCCACUCUGUUCUCACUGGGGGUUUUAAAUACAAAACUAAAAACUUAGAAAUUUCAUAUAAAUGUUUGAGUGCUGCUCUAAUCCAGUUAAAUCAGAAGCCCUUGGGAUGCAGCCCAGUUGGCCCUACUUUCAAAAAUCUCCAGGUGGCUCUAAUAUGAGGUCAGAAGUAAGAACCACUGCUCUAUCUCCUGUAUAUUCUUUAAACUAGAAGUUAGAUUCAAGUAUACGUUUUUGUUCAGAAUAUCUUAACUGUACAUUACAAUCAUGUGGGAAGCUUUAAAAAAUACUGAUGCUUGGCAACUCCGGCCCCCGCCCCUGCCCAAGUAGAUUCUGCUGUAGUUAGCAUUAGGAGUUUGAAAAGCUCCUCGGGUGAUUCUAAUGCAAUUAAGAAGCGCUACUGCCUUAGAUUAGGUUCUUGAAUUUGCAUCAUAUCAGGAAGCAUGUAAUGCCACAGUGUUCCAUUUUUUGUGAUGUGAAAUUCAAUCACUGGAUUAAAGUGGUCACCACCAUACCUCUCCAUUUCAAAGGUACAGUUGCUCUUCUUUGUUUAUUUUAUAUAUUUUUUGAGAUGGAGUCUUGCUCUAUCACCCAGGCUGGAGUGCAGUGGCGUGAUCUCAGCUCACUGAAACCUCUGCCUCCCGGGUUCAAGAAAUUCUUCUGCCUCAGUCUCCCAAGUAGCUGGGACUACAGGCAUGCGCCACCAUGCCCAGCUAAUUUUUGAAUUUUUAGUAGAGACGGGGUUUCACCAUGUUGGCCAGGCUGGUCUCGAACUCCUAACCUUGUGAUCCGCCCACCUUGGCCUCCCAAAGUGCUGGGAUUACAGGCAUGAGCCACUGUGCCUGGCCCAGUUUCUCUUCUUUGUAAAAGUAAGUGGUCCCUGGGAUGGUACUUUGGUACUCUAGGGAUAGCCCGUAUGCUAACAAGUUUUCAUCCAAAGGUUUUGGCUUCCACUGGUGAUUGUUACAUGAAUCAAUGAUUAUAUCAGGGGUUACAAAAUGGUGAUCUUCGAAUUUUGUCAUUUCUUUUACAUUUAUGAGUGUCUUACUUUUGUAAAGAAGAGCUGUCCUGUUUAUCCUCCCCACUCCCUGCCCUGGGAUUCACGUAUCUUCAUUAAUAAACAGCUACCAUCAUUAUCCUUUUUGACGUUAAAUUGUAUCCAAUUUGGCCAGUGGGAAACCCUUCAAGUUGGCUAUUUAUUUAUUGAGAUGGAGUGUCACUUUGUUGCCCAGGCUGGAGUGCUGUGGUGCGAUCUUGGCUCACUGCAACCUCCGCCUCCUGGGUCCAAGCAAUUCUUCUGCCUCAGCCUCCUGAGUAGCUGGGAUUACAGGUGCCUGCCACUGUGCCUGGCUAAUUUUUGUAUUUUUAGUAGAGACGGUGUUUCACCAUGUUGGCCAGGCUGGUCUCGACCUCCUGACCUCAGGUGAUCUGCCCACCUUGGCCUCCCAAAGUGCCGGGAUUACAUGCAUCAGCCACUGUGCCCAGCCUACAAGUUGGCUUUUUAAAAAGUAAAUGAUUUUUACAUUGAAAUAUAACAUAUAGAUAAAUGCACAAAAAAUCAAGUCUGUAGUUCAAAAAAUGUUCAUAAAGCAAACACAUGAAUAGCUAGCUCCUAGAUCAAGAAACAAAACAUUACCAGGAGCCUGAAGCCCCAAUCACACCCUCUUCCUAUCACUUUUGUCCCCACACCAGUAACCACCAGCUUUACUUCUAAAGCUAUUGAUCAGUUUGCCUGUUUUGGAAUUUUGUGUCAAUGGAAUCAUAUCACAUGUACGCUUUUCUGUCUGGCUCCUUUGCACGUCUGUAUGCUCAUGAGAUUCACUCUUGUGUGUGCAGCUGCAGUUCUUUGUUUUUCAUUGCUCCUGCCAUUUAUUUAUUCAUUCUAGUGUAGGUGGACAUUAAGGAUGAUUCCAGGUUUUGACUAUUAUGUGCCCCUAUGAACAUUCUGGUACUUGGGGUCAACACAUUUUUUUGGGUGAGGGGAAUGGGGGUAGAAGUGGAAUUCCUUGCUCAUAGGGUAUGUUUACUUUGGUAGAGGUCGCCACACAGUUUUCCUCCUGUUUUCUUUUGAUAUAACCCCCUUGGUCCUUACGUACUUCUUUUACUUUCUGGCAGAAGAUGUCCUUGGCUCAUCUUUUGUGUUCUCUGCCCGAGCCCUGGAACCAGCCAUUUCUCUGAGGAUUUCUCGUCCUUUUGAAUAGGGAACUGUAUUUAAAAGCCGAGGUGUGGGUACUAUUUGUGCUCAGCACUACUGGGAUCUCAUUGCUCUUAGUUCCUUUUAGUGGACAAAGCUCAGAAAUACACAAUCAUGUGUUUGAACAGAGAGUUCCAAUUUCAACUUUACAGAGUUGUUUUUUCCCUUCUUAACUCUGUUUUAUGUUAUCUAUCAUCUAAUUUCUCUUAUGUUGAAAAUCUUUGUUCCUAAUAACAUCAAUAUAUUUUAUUUGCUUUCUUCUACAUUUUCAUAAAACAGUUUUGAAGUCACAAUACUAAUACUACUGACAAUAUUAUGUGAGUAAAAUAAUAUAUGAAUAUGCGUAAGCUUCAGAUUUCUUUGCGGUUCUUUUUGUCUCUUGUGAGCAACUUCGAUACUAAGUUAAAUGGCUUAAACUAAUGUGGAGAAUGAGGAAUUUAUCUAGCGGUUCAAGAAGUGAGGGUGUUCUGCUGAGAAUGUAGACUGUGUGCCUUCUAGAUGAUUGCAGCUGUUGAGCUCCCACUGUGGGCUUUUUUUCCCUCUUUUUUUUUUUUUUUUUUGAGAUAAAGUCUUGCUCUGCCCCCCACGCGGGAGUGCAAUGGCACAAUCUCAGCUCACUGCAACCUCCGCCUCCCGGGUUCAAGUGAUUCUCCUGCCUCAGCCUCCUGAGUAGCUGGGAUUACAGGUGCCUGCCAUCACGCCCAGCUAAUUUUUUUUUUUUUUGUAUUUUUAGUAGAAAUGGGGUUUCACCAUGUUGGCCACGCUGGUCUCGAACUCCUGACCUCAAGUGAUCCACCCACCUUGGCCUCCCAAAGUGCUGGGAUUACAGGCGUGAGCCACCGUGCCCGGCCUUUUUUUCCUUUCUUUAACUCCCUUUCUGAAGGUUUUCAGGGUUUCCAGUGAGAUGAGGUGCACAGCUGGGGGCAGUAUGUCCUUCUCUCACUUGGAGGUUCUCUGGUCAACAUCCUCCCUUCACUCUGAUCGUGAUGGUUAAUUUUAUGUAUCAAGUUGACUGAAUUAUUGUGCUCAGCUAUUUGCAAAUCUAGAUGUUGCUGUGCAGGUAUUUUAAAAAUAGGUGACUAACAUUUAAAUCAGCGGACUUUGGGGAAAGCCGAUUGCCCUCCACAAUAUGGGUGGGUCUCACUGAGUCAGCGGAAGGCAUUAAAAGACUCAGGUCCCUUGAAGAGGAAGGAAUUCUGCCUCCAGAUCGCUGUCAGACUUAAGACAUCAACUUAUUGCUGGACUCGCCAGCCUAACUCGUGGAUUUCAGACUUAUCAGCUCUCAUGAUUGUGUGAGCCAAUUUCUUAAAUUAAUCUCUGUCUCCCUACUUCCCCCACCCUAUUGGUUCUGUUCCUAUGGAGAACCGUGAUGAUGACACUGGUUAUCUCAAACCUGAUAACAAAUGUUUGGGGAUCUCUGCUAUGUGCCCCAGUAGUGGCAUCAUGGUGAGAAGCAGACUGUAGUCAUCCAGGAAGGAAAGGAACAGAGUGGGAUGAUAAAGGGCCCCGUUAAGGGAGUGGAUGCAAGAAAUGAUGUGUAAGAACCUAUCUCCCCUCCCACUCUGAACUUGGCUAACAUGGUUACCAGCAAACAGCAGGUAUGAUCCUUGUUUGAUUUGGAACCAGGGUGUCCUCCUGGGCUAGGAGCAGCUUAGUGUGCCCUGCUUUGAUGAGAGGAAAAGGCUCUCUAUGACUCUCACACACCUCCUGGGGCCCUUGACUUACAGUUCCUGUCAACUGCUCUCAUGUGGGACAGGCUGUGCACACCACACCUGGUGUGGCUCACUUUCGGGAAGUGCUUCCCCUUGGCAGUGGGAGAAGGCAGAGCAGAAUCUAAUUGCUUUCAUUGCUUAAUGGGUAAAGACCAAGCUGUUUGUUAUAAGAGGGUGUAUAGGAUUUUCUCCAGUUCUUCCUUCCUAAUUUCUCUUUCACCUUACUCCUCCCCAGGAGCAGACUUUGGUAAAAUUGUGGAAAACAUAGACAUAAUGAAUAUAAUAAUGUACUGAACUUAUGCUAUGAGCCAGUGAGUAUAAGUAAUGGAAAACUUUAUUUCUGAGGACACUCGAUUCUGGGAUCAAAAGGCUACUCCAGUGAUUCCCAGGAAGGUUCUGCUACUGCCAUUCCAGGGAGGAGUUGGGACCUUGGGAAGUAGACAGGAGAGGGGAAAGGACCAGGGUGGAGGAAGAGAAGAGAGAUCAGAAUGCAAAGUGACCCCAGGUAUCAAGGGACUGGAUGGGAAAAAGCUGCAAUGUUUUACACAACCUUCUAAAUGCAUCUGUAAACAUCUUUUAGCAAGAUUCCCCUCAGUAAUUGACUGAACCCACAUACCCUCCUACAGACAUAACCAAGGGGUGACAUAGAUCACCAGUCUAGAGGAAAGCUGCCACAGUCUUGCAGGGGGUUGAAAUCAGGCUUGUUUGCUCUGUUUAGUUUGGGUUUGGCAGAGUUGCACAGAGGAGGAGCACGGCAUCUACUCAUGAAGCUGAUGGUCAGGUUCCCAGACCAUUGCACGUUAGAAACUCGGUGAAAUUAAAUUGGCAUCUCUUGGGUGAGGCCCAAGCAAGGGUAUUGUUUAGGUCCUCAGAUGAUUGUAAUGUGCACUCUGAAUCCCUGCCAUCACCAACUCAUAGAGGACAUGCUCUACAGCUACAGCCCAGAGGCCAUGAUAGAGAGACAAAUGUGUUGUAAUCAUGAAUGUCAUUUUGUCCUUGCAGAAUUAAUGGGAUGUUGUGGUUUAUGUUAUUAGGCACUGGUAAUAAAGAAAUUUGUGGUAAUCAUAGUGAUUGGCUAGAUAAGGCAUUGUGAAAUAAGGGAAUGAGGAUGUGAUGGAUGGUGAGAGAAUUAGGGUAAAAAUUCAUGAAUCUGAGAGCACAACAAAGAUCUCAGAGGAAAGUGAGAAGGGAAGUUAAGGAUUUAGCUAAAAAGUUAAAACAGUCUGGGUGUGGUGACUCACGCCUGUAAUCCCAGCACUUUGGGAGGCCAAGGUGGGCAGAUCAUCUGAAGUCAGGAGUUUGAGACCAGCCUGACCAACAUGGAGAAACCCCAUCUCUACUAAAAAUACAAAAUUAGCUGGGCAUGGUGGCACAUGCCUGUAAUCUCAGCUACUCGGGAGGCUGAGGCAGGAGAAUCACUUGAACCUGGGAGGCGGAGGUUGCGGUGAGCCAAGAUUGCACCGUUGCACCCCAGCCCGGGCAACAAGAGUGAAACUCCAUCUUAGAAAAAAAAAAAAAAAAAGUUAAAACAACACAAACAACUGGAACUAUGUAGGGCAGUUAAGUGUGCCAGGACUUUGGCAAGAAGACAGGAACUCCCUCCUGUCCCCAAAUAAUGAUGUUUGGGAACUUGGAGUGGUGGUGGUUUACACCCUGCUCACUGUGAUGGAAAGGCUGAGAAGGGCAGUUUGGGCAGAACAGUGAGCAGGGAGCAAUGCACAGAUGGGCACAAUAGGAUUCAAGAAGUCAGGAAAUGUGCAGCAAUGGAAGGCUUAUGGAGGACUGGCCUCCUUGACUAAGACAAAAUGCUAUAUUCUGCAAGUUUUUGCAGUUUAUUCAUUUACCGAUCCAGCUACUAUUUAUUGGAAGGUGACUCUACACUGAGUACUAGGCAGUGAGCUCCUUCCGGACCAGCCCCUGGUCUUGCUCAUUCUGUGGAUACAGCACAUCUGAGAAGGGCUGUGACUGUGCUGCUCCCAUCACACUAGCUGCUGCUGGGAUGCUUCACUGCCUCUCUGAGUUCAAGGGUGAGUUUUUUUGUAGUCUCUUCUCUCCUCUGCAUGGCUCUUGUGCAGCUGGUGGGAGUAGUUGUAGUGAUGUCCUCUUAGCUGAGGUCAUAGCAGUGAUGAAUGAAACAAGAAGGCCAGUUUGUUAAUUUCCUAUGAAGCAACAAGAACUAUAAAUGCCAAAAGGACUGGAUGCCUGAAUCCUCCUGCUGAUCCUUCCUUCCCUGUAUGUAUGCCAUGCUUGAAAAGCUGAACUAUAAUUGGGAAGUUGUUUGGUGAGCCAGAGGCUAGAACAGGAAUAGCUGGUUAUGAGUCCAAUCUUUAAUAGCAUUGGAUAAAGAUGUAUCUAUCUUCAGGACAGUGACAAAACUGCAUUGGGCCACAUACUUUUCCCCGAGGCCUAUCCUGGGUUGGUCACUGCCUGCAUUGACUCUGACUUUCUUUUUAGGCUUUUCAGGCUAUGUAAUCUGUUUCCAGUUGGCCUGUUCUUUCCUCAUGCAAAUUAAUGUAUUUAACCAGAUUAUAGCUUUGUUUUGAAGGCCUGGGCCAUUCUGACAUUUUUGUAGGAUGACAUAUUCCUGUUCUGAUUCAUUAUGUUUUGAUUUAUCUUUUAAUUCUCAGAAGACAGCUUGGUCUUAUUUCCAGAUUUCUGGAUGAUGCUUUCUUGCAGCACUCAAAUCACUGACAAUGCUUUAAAUAUGAAAACUUUAAUAUUAAUAUUCAUAUCCAGUGAUGUAAUAUAUCAUUUUAUUGAAAGUGCACAUGUUCAGAAAGACUGUAUAUUUAUGAUUUAUACCCUGCUUGCUGCCUAAACAGAUUUGAGACAACUUAUAGCCCAGGGAAAUAUUAUAAAUAUGAACAACUUGUAUGGCAUGAGCUCUGGCCACUCAGAAUAGAUGUGCAUCAGAAAUAACUAUUGUCCAUACCAGUGCCUACCAGCUGAAUAUCAGCCCUCCUUUGAGAUGUUAGAGUAUCUAUAAAGCAGCACCACUGUGGCUAACCCAGAGAGAAACAGUGAGGACAACACAAAUUUUGGGGGAGCUCUCAUGGGUAUGAGGGCACCUCCUUUCCUUUUCUACCUUUUCUUUCCUGGUAUCAUGGCAGCUCCAGCUGAUGAAGAACAUAUUCCUUUGGUUUACAAAAUACUCAUGUUUCAUCAAAGCAAAGAAGCCAUUGGUUGUAAAUACACCAUUAUUUUUUAUUUUUUUAAAAUUUUUAUACAGAUGGGAGUCUCUCUAUGUUGGCCAAGGUUGGUCUUGAAAUCCUGGCUUCAAGCAAUCCUCCUGCCUAGGACUUUCAAGGGUGUUGUUAUGUCCAAAGCCAUCUUGCCAUGAGCAGCCUGAGAAUGGAGCCAAUGACUGAGGGUGGCAGAGCAGAAAGAUGGGUCUCACUCUGUCACCCAGACUGGAGUGCAGUGGUGCGAUCUUGGCUCACUACAACCUCCGCCUCCCAGGCUCAAGCGAUUCUCCUGCCUCAGCCUCCUGAGUAAUUGGGAUUACAGGGGCACACCACUAAAGGAGGAGACCACCCCUCAUUUUGUCUUAUGCCCAAUUUCUGCCUCCAAAGAAAGAAGAAGUAAAAACUAAAAUGCAGAAAUGAAAUCCACAAGCAGACAGCCCGGUGCCACACCCUGGGCCUGGUAGUUAAAGAUCGACCCCUGACCUAAUUGGUUAUCUAUAGAUUACAGACAUUGUAUAGAAAAGCACUGUGAAAAUCCCUAUCUUGUUUUGUUCCGAUCCAAUUACCAGUGCAUGCAUCCCCCAGUCACGUACUCCCUGCUUGCUCAAUCGAUCACGACCCUCUCACGUGCACCCCCUUAGAGUUGUGAGCCCUUAAAAGGGACAGGAAUUGCUCACUCGGAGAACUUGGCUUUUGAGCCCCAGCCCAAUAAACGCCUUCCUUCUUUAA
Long non-coding RNA from Pan troglodytes (chimpanzee), 17317 nucleotides. RefSeq lists it as uncharacterized. NCBI's taxonomy places the organism in Eukaryota, Metazoa, Chordata, Mammalia, Primates, Hominidae. The transcript is spliced from 3 exons. The record is from RefSeq and is a predicted model, not a curated record.